Molecule: long non-coding RNA, 1032 nt
Filed under: Hordeum vulgare
Lineage: Eukaryota; Viridiplantae; Streptophyta; Magnoliopsida; Poales; Poaceae
Description: long non-coding RNA (HVUL_LNC019526)
Source: RNAcentral
GGGCGUCGAGGAGGGACUCUAGUGACAUAAGGGCGACCUGUCUAAUAGUUGUUUCGAUAUGGGCUAGAUUUUGUAAAAAUAGAAGGGCAUUGCUGACAUUCGGCCUACUAGCAAGAUAUGUUCCUGCCCAAUAAACCUGAAGAAUACAAGAAAAAGGGAAGAAUUGAAGAAUGGUCCUCGGCCGGUUUUCAGUGAGCACAGCCCCAAAGAAGACAAGUACCAUAUGCAUAUGGUACUUGGAACAUGCAGUACGAUUAAAAAUGCAGCCAUAGAUUUCACCUAGCGAUAUAUGUAGAAAGAAAGAAAGGCGGGUGUCGAUGUUGCCAAUCCCAGAAGCUUGGAAAGCAGAAAUGAUGGUUUGUCUAUGCAGCAAAGCAACUCUCUCAGUACAGUCCCGUAACGCUGGGUGCGGUGCGUCUUUCGUUCCUUGUUUCAGCUUGCUUCGGCGAUGUCAGCCCAGGCCCUGCUGCUUUUGAUUAGCCUGAUCGAGCUGUGCGAUUUCGAGUCCCCAAAUUAAACAAGUGCCACCAAAAGGCCGCACAAUCGGUAACGGAAGGGAAGGUCUGACCAUGUACGCUGUCCUUUCUGCGCUCAUUAAGGUAUGUAUUUCUUUUAUUACCUUUAUAUAUACGGCAUGUCCUCCCUUCCUUAAUUUGCAACGGCUUCUGACUACUGAAGCUCUGAACGGAAGUGAGCACAUGGCAAUAUCGUCGAUCCCAUGGAGCAUGCCGAUCGAGAUCGAAGCCUAUGGAGAGUAUCCAGUGCUAUAAACAUCAAAUUUCAAAGUGUGUCAAAAUUCCAUAUUUGUGUGUGGAUGUUCACUCCAGAUGUUUAUACAAUCCUCAACAUUUUCAAAUCCAAAUUCAAUCUAUACUAGAAGAGUUGGACGCACUUUCCUGCGUCAUUGGUGUUAUUGAAUUUUCAUAAUGUCUUUGCUCCCUCCAUUUCAAAAUAUUAAACGCAGUAGUUUUUUAAAAAGUCAAAUCUUUUUAAGUUUGAUUACAUUUAUAGAGAAGUAUAUCAGUAUCAAUA